Non-coding RNA from Drosophila melanogaster (fruit fly), 274 nucleotides. Lineage: Eukaryota; Metazoa; Arthropoda; Insecta; Diptera; Drosophilidae. The record is from Ensembl.
UAUCAGAUACCCAUUACCCAGGUGGGGUGGGGGGGAGACAUAAUAUUUUGAAUAACGAUUGAAAGACAUUAUGAUGUUUCCUUGCGUUGCAAAUAUUCACGACAUGUUCCACAUGUUCUUCUGCGAGCUGCUAUUACAAAAUUACCCUUGGCAGAAAACUUUAAAAAUUGCAUGGUAGCGAGUGAUAAAUUAUGCUGUCCCCAUCACACUCUGCGUUAUGUUUUAUGCGGCCCCUAAAAAAUGAUGUAUAUGUGGAUGAUAAAAAGUAGAUUGC